CCGCCAGACUCCUACGGGAGGCAGCAGUGAGGAAUAUUGGUCAAUGGCCGAGAGGCUGAACCAGCCAAGUCGCGUGAGGGAAGACGGCCCUACGGGUUGUAAACCUCUUUUGUCGGGGAGCAAAGCGAGUCACGUGUGACUCAUUGAGAGUACCCGAAGAAAAAGCAUCGGCUAACUCCGUGCCAGCAGCCGCGGUAAUACGGAGGAUGCGAGCGUUAUCCGGAUUUAUUGGGUUUAAAGGGUGCGUAGGCGGAAUGCCAAGUCAGCGGUAAAAUCGCGGGGCUCAACCUCGCUCCGCCGUUGAAACUGGCGUUCUUGAGUGGGCGAGAAGUAUGCGGAAUGCGUGGUGUAGCGGUGAAAUGCAUAGAUAUUAGGAGGAACACCGGUGGCGAAGGCGGCUUACUGGACCGUAACUGACGUUGAGGCUCGAAAGCGUGGUGAGCAAACGGGAUUAGAUACCCCCGUAA
This 467-nucleotide ribosomal RNA is filed under the name uncultured bacterium. RNAcentral's name for it is "bacterial SSU rRNA". It matches the Rfam family "Bacterial small subunit ribosomal RNA", at positions 328 to 793 of the family's 1533-position model. The record is from RNAcentral.